CCCCAAAUAUAGCUAAGUGGGAAACGAAGUGGGAAGGCUAAAACAGUCAGGAGGUUGGCUUAGAAGCAGCCACCCUUUAAAGAAAGCGUAAUAGCUCACUGAUCGAGUCGUCCUGCGCGGAAGAUGUAACGGGGCUAAGCUAUAUACCGAAGCUGCGGAUGCGUGCUUUGCACGCAUGGUAGGAGAGCGUUCCGUAAGCCUGCGAAGGUGCCUUGUAAAGGGUGCUGGAGGUAUCGGAAGUGCGAAUGCUGACAUGAGUAGCGAUAAAGGGGGUGAAAGGCCCCCUCGCCGUAAGCCCAAGGUUUCCUACGCAACGUUCAUCGGCGUAGGGUGAGUCGGCCCCUAAGGCGAGGCAGAAAUGCGUAGCUGAUGGGAAGCAGGUCAAUAUUCCUGCACCAUUGUUAGAUGCGAUGGGGGGACGGAUCGCGGAAGGUUGUCCGGGUGUUGGAAGUCCCGGUCGCUGCAUUGGAGAAGGCGCUUAGGCAAAUCCGGGCGCAGAAUUCAAGGGUGUGGCGCGAGCUCCUUCGGGAGCGAAGCAAUUGGAAGUGGUUCCAAGAAAAGCCUCUAAGCUUCAGUCUAACGAUGACCGUACCGCAAACCGACACAGGUGGGCGAGAUGAGUAUUCUAAGGCGCUUGAGAGAACUCGGGAGAAGGAACUCGGCAAAUUGGUACCGUAACUUCGGGAUAAGGUACGCCCUUGUAGCUUGACUGGCCUGCGCCAGGAGGGUGAAGGGGUUGCAAUAAACUGGUGGCUGCGACUGUUUAAUAAAAACACAGCACUCUGCAAACACGAAAGUGGACGUAUAGGGUGUGACGCCUGCCCGGUGCCGGAAGAUUAAAUGAUGGGGUGCAAGCUCUUGAUUGAAGUCCCGGUAAACGGCGGCCGUAACUAUAACGGUCCUAAGGUAGCGAAAUUCCUUGUCGGGUAAGUUCCGACCUGCACGAAUGGCGUAACGAUGGCCACACUGUCUCCUCCCGAGACUCAGCGAAGUUGAAGUGUUUGUGAUGAUGCAAUCUACCCGCGGCUAGACGGAAAGACCCCAUGAACCUUUACUGUAGCUUUGCAUUGGACUUUGAACCGAUCUGUGUAGGAUAGGUGGGAGGCUAUGAAACCGGAACGCUAGUUUCGGUGGAGCCGUCCUUGAAAUACCACCCUGGUUUGUUUGAGGUUCUAACCUUGGCCCGUGAUCCGGGUCGGGGACAGUGCAUGGUAGGCAGUUUGACUGGGGCGGUCUCCUCCCAAAGCGUAACGGAGGAGUACGAAGGUACGCUAGGUACGGUCGGAAAUCGUGCUGAUAGUGCAAUGGCAUAAGCGUGCUUAACUGCGAGACCGACAAGUCGAGCAGGUGCGAAAGCAGGUCAUAGUGAUCCGGUGGUUCUGUAUGGAAGGGCCAUCGCUCAACGGAUAAAAGGUACUCUGGGGAUAACAGGCUGAUACCGCCCAAGAGUUCAUAUCGACGGCGGUGUUUGGCACCUCGAUGUCGGCUCAUCUCAUCCUGGGGCUGUAGCCGGUCCCAAGGGUAUGGCUGUUCGCCAUUUAAAGAGGUACGUGAGCUGGGUUUAAAACGUCGUGAGACAGUUUGGUCCCUAUCUGCCGUGGGCGUUGGAUAUUUGAAGGGGGCUGCUCCUAGUACGAGAGGACCGGAGUGGACGAACCUCUGGUGUACCGGUUGUCACGCCAGUGGCAUCGCCGGGUAGCUAUGUUCGGAAGAGAUAACCGCUGAAAGCAUCUAAGCGGGAAACUCGCCUUAAGAUGAGAUAUCCCUGGGGACUAGAUCCCCUUGAAGGGUCGUUCGAGACCAGGACGUUGAUAGGUCAGGUGUGUAAGCGCAGUAAUGCGUUCAGCUAACUGAUACUAAUUGCCCGUAAGGCUUGAUC
RNAcentral lists this ribosomal RNA (1879 nucleotides) under Burkholderia cepacia. RNAcentral describes it as "bacterial LSU rRNA". It matches the Rfam family "Bacterial large subunit ribosomal RNA", at positions 1046 to 2925 of the family's 2925-position model. The record is from RNAcentral. Lineage: Bacteria; Pseudomonadati; Pseudomonadota; Betaproteobacteria; Burkholderiales; Burkholderiaceae.